AGGACUAUUUGGAUACUAGUCUAGUUGAGUCAUUUACAUUGAUUAGAAUUAGAACACAGAAGUAGAGUUAGAUACAUAGGAGUCCUUACUCACUCGUUGUCCUCCCACCUAGCUAGCUCACUACCAGUUAUCUUUACUUACCUUUAUCUGACUUAUCUAUUAUUCUAUUUCGCUAUUCUUACCCCCUAUUAGCACUAGUGAACUUAGAUUGAGUAGACAUAAACCACGGAUAUCCAUCCAUAUAUUUAUUAAGAGAGUCUUAGUCCGCUUCCCGUGAGCGAACUAUAAAUUACAACACCGCGGAUACUCACC
This 312-nucleotide long non-coding RNA is filed under the name Sorghum bicolor (sorghum). Its description in RNAcentral is "long non-coding RNA (SBIC_LNC005389)". The record is from RNAcentral. Lineage: Eukaryota; Viridiplantae; Streptophyta; Magnoliopsida; Poales; Poaceae.